GACGAACGCUGGCGGCGUGCUUAACACAUGCAAGUCGAGCGGUAAGGCCCUUUCGGGGGUACACGAGCGGCGAACGGGUGAGUAACACGUGGGUGACCUGCCCUCAGCUCUGGGAUAAGCCUGGGAAACCGGGUCUAAUACUGGAUAUGACUCCAUGACGCAUGUUGUGGGGUGGAAAGCCUUGUGCGGCUGAGGAUGGGCCCGCGGCCUAUCAGCUUGUUGGUGGGGUGANGGCCUACCAAGGCGACGACGGGUAGCCGGCCUGAGAGGGCGACCGGCCACACUGGGACUGAGACACGGCCCAGACUCCUACGGGAGGCAGCAGUGGGGAAUC
RNAcentral lists this ribosomal RNA (334 nucleotides) under uncultured bacterium. Its description in RNAcentral is "bacterial SSU rRNA". It matches the Rfam family "Bacterial small subunit ribosomal RNA", at positions 28 to 363 of the family's 1533-position model. The record is from RNAcentral.